GCCAGUGGUGGUUUAGUGGUUAGAGCAUCGGACUGGCACCCAGGAGACCUGGGUUCAAAUCUCCACUCGGCC
Molecule: non-coding RNA, 72 nt
Organism: Podarcis lilfordi (Lilford's wall lizard)
Lineage: Eukaryota; Metazoa; Chordata; Lepidosauria; Squamata; Lacertidae
Source: the annotation of a GenBank genome assembly